AUCCCUGUAAGGAUUUGCUUCCGGUCUUUGACCACGGAUGUACUGGCAUCGAUCGUUGAGGCGAUGGAGGAAGAGGUCGGGUUAGCCCGGCCUUUUUUGCA
RNAcentral lists this small RNA (101 nucleotides) under Martinezella paranaensis. RNAcentral's name for it is "Rhizobium paranaense sRNA ar35". It matches the Rfam family "Alphaproteobacterial sRNA ar35". RNAcentral also lists the same sequence under 1 other name. Lineage: Bacteria; Pseudomonadati; Pseudomonadota; Alphaproteobacteria; Hyphomicrobiales; Rhizobiaceae. The record is from RNAcentral.